This 492-nucleotide ribosomal RNA is filed under the name uncultured bacterium. RNAcentral describes it as "partial 16S ribosomal RNA". It matches the Rfam family "Bacterial small subunit ribosomal RNA", at positions 29 to 507 of the family's 1533-position model. The record is from RNAcentral.
AGUGAACGCUGGCGGUAUGCCUAACACAUGCAAGUCGAACGGCAGCACAGUAAGAGCUUGCUCUUACGGGUGGCGAGUGGCGGACGGGUGAGGAAUACAUCGGAAUCUACUUUUUCGUGGGGGAUAACGUAGGGAAACUUACGCUAAUACCGCAUACGACCUACGGGUGAAAGCAGGGGAUCUUCGGACCUUGCGCGAUUGAAUGAGCCGAUGUCGGAUUAGCUAGUUGGCGGGGUAAAGGCCCACCAAGGCGACGAUCCGUAGCUGGUCUGAGAGGAUGAUCUGACACACUGGAAAUGAGACACGGGCCAGAGUCCUACGGGAGGCAGCAGUGGGGAAAAUUUUGCAAUGGGCGCAAGACUGAGAGAGCAACACCGCGUGUGGGAAGAAGGGCUUCGGGUGGUAAAAAGCUUUUUUGGGGGAAGAAAAAAGGAGCAGGUUAAUACCCCGGUGUUGACGGUACCCAAAAAGAAAGCGCCGGCUAAAUCCGUG